CCCCUGUAUAAGGUGGAUUCCGUCUUAUAGUUAAUAAGUUAGCCUACGGAGGCAGAUCAGCCUGACAGGAUUUCAGCUCAGCAGCGAAGAUGUGGACUUCUGUAUUAGAUUCAGCCUUUAUUGGAUGCCUGUCACCCUGACAACGCCACAGUGAGGAACCAAUAGGCAUAUGUGGUACAGUAGGACUUGUGUCUGAUUGGCAAGAAAGUCAGAGAAGGCCUCAACUGGACAGGAGUGUCACAGCAGUGACCCCAGUGCCUCUGAGGUGAAGAUUAAUCACAGCUGUGGGGAGAAUAGGAUGAAGAAGUAGCACACCUGCUCCUGGGAAGAAAACCACAAAGAAAAGAAGUGGCAAAAAUAGAAGGAAGAAGAAGGAAGCCUUACUGGCAUGGCUUUCCACUGCUGGAGAAAGAUCUUGGAUGAAAUUUGAUGCUGAACUUGCAACAUUUCUUCUGGACUGAUCAAGUCCUGAUCAGCCCUGCGAUGGACUGGCG
Molecule: long non-coding RNA, 494 nt
Organism: Pygocentrus nattereri (red-bellied piranha)
Lineage: Eukaryota; Metazoa; Chordata; Actinopteri; Characiformes; Serrasalmidae
Exons: 4
Source: RefSeq, a predicted model, not a curated record